CACGUAGGGUGCGAGCGUUGUCCGGAAUUAUUGGGCGUAAAGAGCUCGUAGGCGGUGUGUCGCGUCGGCCGUGAAAACCUGCAGCUUAACUGUGGGCGUGCGGUCGAUACGGGCAUCACUGGAGUUCGGCAGGGGAGACUGGAAUUCCUGGUGUAGCGGUGAAAUGCGCAGAUAUCAGGAGGAACACCCGUGGCGAAGGCGGCUCUCUGGGACGGUACUGACACUGAGACGCGAAAGCGUGGGGAGCGAACAGG
RNAcentral lists this ribosomal RNA (254 nucleotides) under uncultured bacterium. RNAcentral's name for it is "partial 16S ribosomal RNA". It matches the Rfam family "Bacterial small subunit ribosomal RNA", at positions 524 to 776 of the family's 1533-position model. The record is from RNAcentral.